Panaeolus papilionaceus is the source of this 104-nucleotide non-coding RNA. NCBI's taxonomy places the organism in Eukaryota, Fungi, Basidiomycota, Agaricomycetes, Agaricales. The record is from the annotation of a GenBank genome assembly.
UCGAAUAUCGUGUAACGGCUAACAUUGCCGCCUCUCAUCGUAAUGAAAUAUUGUUUCUAUAUAUGUGAUCGCGGCAGCUCGGGGUUCGAUUCCCCGUAUCCGAA